This 106-nucleotide Y RNA is filed under the name Ursus maritimus (polar bear). Its description in RNAcentral is "Y RNA (ENSUMAG00000020445.1)". It matches the Rfam family "Y RNA". Rfam says of the family: Y RNAs are components of the Ro ribonucleoprotein particle (Ro RNP), in association with Ro60 and La proteins. The Y RNAs and Ro60 and La proteins are well conserved, but the function of the Ro RNP is not known. Lineage: Eukaryota; Metazoa; Chordata; Mammalia; Carnivora; Ursidae. The record is from Rfam by way of RNAcentral.
GGCUGAACCAAGUACACAGUGGUGUUUAAAAUUAAUUGAUUAUAACCAGUUACAUAUUUCUUUAUUCCUUCUUAAAACUCUCACUGCUUCAUUUGACUAGCCUUAA